This 253-nucleotide ribosomal RNA is filed under the name uncultured bacterium. RNAcentral's name for it is "partial 16S ribosomal RNA". It matches the Rfam family "Bacterial small subunit ribosomal RNA", at positions 524 to 776 of the family's 1533-position model. The record is from RNAcentral.
GACGUAGGGAGCGAGCGUUGUCCGGAUUCAUUGGGCGUAAAGAGCGCGUAGGCGGUUUGGUAAGUCGGAUGUGAAAACACGAGGCUCAACCUCGUGCGUGCAUCCGAAACUGCCCGACUAGAGGUAGGUAGGGGAGAUCGGAAUUCCUGGUGUAGCGGUGGAAUGCGCAGAUAUCAGGAGGAACACCGGUGGCGAAGGCGGAUCUCUGGGCCUUACCUGACGCUGAGGCGCGAAAGCUAGGGGAGCGAACAGG